UGUUACACUUCUAUUCAUAUUUUACUGUUCCUCCAGACCACCUGAUUCAAAAUUUGAUUUUGGAGGAAUGGGUCAUUUCACACGUGUCCAUCCACCAUUGGUGGAUACAUUUGUUCCGACGUGUCGCAGGACCACCAAAUCUUACGUUGUCUGCCGUGAGAGCGAAAGAUACUCGGCCUCGUUCCUCGUGCCUCACUCGCAUCGUAAUACGUAUCCAACGCUCACUUUUUCUCUGGGACCCACUUUGAUUCACCACCCC
This 259-nucleotide long non-coding RNA is filed under the name Vigna radiata. Its description in RNAcentral is "long non-coding RNA (VRAD_LNC004442)". Lineage: Eukaryota; Viridiplantae; Streptophyta; Magnoliopsida; Fabales; Fabaceae. The record is from RNAcentral.